This is a small nucleolar RNA of Mya arenaria, 74 nucleotides long. RefSeq annotates it as small nucleolar RNA SNORD34. NCBI's taxonomy places the organism in Eukaryota, Metazoa, Mollusca, Bivalvia, Myida, Myidae. The record is from RefSeq and is a predicted model, not a curated record. The transcript has a single exon.
CCAAUCUUGUGAUGUUUGCAUUACCUACAUUGUCAGAGAAUAACUGAAGAUAACAACACAAAGCUGAAGAUUGG